CCUACGGGAGGCAGCAGUGAGGAAUAUUGGUCAAUGGCCGGAAGGCUGAACCAGCCAAGUCGCGUGAGGGAAUAAGGCCCUCUGGGUCGUAAACCUCUUUUGUCAGGGAGCAAAGGCGUCCACGUGUGGACGAGAGGAGAGUACCUGAAGAAAAAGCAUCGGCUAACUCCGUGCAAGCAGCCGCGGUAGUACGGAGGAUGCGAGCGUUAUCCGGAUUGAUUGGGUUGAAAGGGUGCGUAGGGGGAGUGUAAGGUCAGCGGUAAAAUUUCGGGGCUAACCCGCGUCGUGCCGUUGAAACUGGCGACCUUGAGUGAGUGAGAGGUAAGCGGAAUGCGUGGUGUAGCGGUGAAAUGCGUAGAUAUCACGAGGAACGCCGAUUGCGAAGGCAGCUUACUGGCGCUCAACUGACGCUGAGGCGCGAAAGUGUGGGUAUCGAACAGGAUUAGAUACCCGUGUAGUC
RNAcentral lists this ribosomal RNA (460 nucleotides) under uncultured bacterium. Its description in RNAcentral is "partial 16S ribosomal RNA". It matches the Rfam family "Bacterial small subunit ribosomal RNA", at positions 338 to 795 of the family's 1533-position model. The record is from RNAcentral.